CCCCAAAUCAGCAAAGAAUCAAAUUGAGAAUAGAAAUAAGUGUUAGGGUUCUUGAAACCCUCAAGGAGAUUGUGAUUCUGCCCAAUUGAACACCAAGAUAGUUUUCCCCAAAUUUCGACAAUCUAAUUUCACCCAAAAAGAGUAUGGAAAAACCCUAGAAAUUGGGGAUUUGUGGGCUGAUUCCUUAAGAUAGAAAAAGGCUGAAAACACAAUAAGAACAGAAAAUAGAUUAGAUAAUGAUUCAGCACAAGUAGAAAUAAAGAAAGAAUUGACAGUAAGAAAUUAAAAGAUAAGUCCUAAGAAGCCUUGAAAUCUCGAAAGAUCUCACAACUCCCUUCAAACGGCUCUAAUCUCCCCUCCAAAGAAUAUCAAUGGCAAGAAGAAGGUUGAAGAUGGCUCCCACAAUCAAAAAGAUUGUUAAAACAACUUCUAAAGAAAACUCAAGAGAAAAUCCUUGAAGAACUCAAAGAGAAUUUUCACUCAAAUCAAAUCUGAAAUUUUCAAUGUAAUUGUAAUGUAAUGUAGGGUGGCUGGCCAAGCCAUAUAAAUAGGCCUUUCAAAUGUUUUCCUAAUUUAAUUAGAACACUAAAACUAAAACUAAAAAAACUCCUAAUUAUUUUAAUAUGGAAAUUCGGCCAAGGGUCUUUUAUUUGGGACUCUUGGACUGAAUAUAAAAAUUUAAACUAAAUAAAAUAAAUAAAUAAAUAAAUAAAAAUAAAACUUUACAACUUGGGCCACUUUGACAAUUUGGCCUGAUUUUCAACUAAGUAUGGGUGGAUUUCUUGAUUGGGCUUGGAAUCUUCUUAUUGGGCCUUGCCCUCAAGAAUUUGGGCUUUUGUGACUCGUAUCAUUCCCCCCUUCCUCAAAAAGAUUCGUCCUCGAAUCUGAAAAAUCAAAUGAACUCGACUUUCCUCUAUCGAACGGGACUAAUGGCAAUUGAGUCCACUGAAAAGAAUAGCCAUGAGAUAGUAAAUAGCAACGGAAACAAGCUUGUAGUCCAAUCAUAAGCAUAACAGAACAGGUAUAACGCAUGUGAAUGGACAGAUUCAGAUUACCAUGCAAACAAUCUAAUUUACUCACCACUGCCUCGUCAAAUAUUUGAAACAAAGAUGGACAUGUUUUAAGGCAUUCAGUCGUCUCACAUUGUUCCCACAAACCAUGAAUAAAUUGCGAGUAAUAAAUCAAAUGGUAAACAUAAUCGUCACAAGUAGGUAUUUGAAAAGAUUUACAUGGUUCACAGAGUUGCAUAAUCAUACCAUGCAUUAAUCGACGGUCUAUAGAUUCACUCACACAUGCAUUAUCAAAAACAAGAAUCUUUUUAUCAACCAUCAAAACAGAUAGAUCAUCAAUAAAUAAAAUAGGACAGUCAAGCAUGUUUCGAUCUAAGUGUUCAUCAACACGAUCUUUAUCACUAUCCGAGGAGUACAAAAGUGUUUCAAAGGUUUCAAGCAUCUUACCUCGAUAAGCAAAAGAAUAAGGGUCGAUUUUACCUUUUUCAUUUAAAACAAACCUUCGUUCAUCGGGGGCAUAGUGUAGUCGAAUCUCCGUUGUUGAGUUAACCUUUGUCAAAUGGAACUCAAACUUCAUGUACAACCACAUAAACUGUUUAAGGCAAGAAUAUAAAUUGAAAACAAAUUUGGAAAAUUUCGUUACCUUAUUCUCCAAAACAGAUUUGGACGAAUUCGAGGAUUUUACACAAGGUAAAUCAAGAGAAUAACAAAUCACGCUUCUUUUCGUAAUGACUUUAUCAACCACAAUCGAAGAGUAACAAUUAAUUGGAUCAAAAUGAGGGGAUCUUUUAAGAACUAAGUCACCAAAAGUUUUAUCAAUAAUUUUCAAAUCUGCACUGGACUCGGUUUCUAAAAUUUCCUUACCUCGCUUACCUUCGGGAUCAUGUAGUGUGAUUUCAUCUUUGCCUAAGUUGAUCGUAUGAAAGCGUCUUUCAUUUGAGAGGUAUUGAAGUUGAAAGUUAUCUUUCGAUCUUUCAGGAACCUGAAAAGUAGCAACACAAGAAAAAUUCAUAUCUUGGUUAGUGGAAACAUUCCUCACUAGCCUUUCCUCGUCUUUUUCUUUUGUUUCUUUUUCUAACUCAUUUUCUCUUCUUUCUUCAACUUCUUUUUCAAAUUUCUUUUCUGUUUCACAUUCCUUUUCACUCUCAAUCUCUUUUUGCUCUUUUUCAUUCUUUUUUUCUUUUUCCUCACUUGUUUUAACAGAAUUUCUCAGUUUGAUUUGUUCCUCAUGGACUUGUUCCGGAGUGAGCGGCACUAAGGUAAGUUUCUUUCCUUGAUGCUUGAAGGAAUACCUAUUGGUACGACCAUCGUGAGUGACUUUUCGAUCCAGUUGCCAUGGUUCUCCUAGCAAUAAAUGGCAGGCUUGAAUAGGUACUACGUCGCACACGACUUCGUCUUGAUAUUUACCGAUAGAAAAGGCGAUGCGCACUUGUUGAGUGACCUUAAAUUGGCUUUCGUUGCUAAGCCCUUGUAGUUGAUAAGGUCGUGGAUGCUUGGUAGUGGUUAAGCAAAGCUUUUCCACCAUCGUCGUGCUGGCUACGUUCGAGCAACUUUCACCAUCAAUAAUAACUCUACAAAGCUUACCUUGUACAUGGCAGCGAGUAUGAAAGAGAUGUUCUCGUUGCUGCUCGCUCUUUGGUUUUGCCAAAGAGGGUUGUCCACGAUCAUGAAGAUCAUAAUCAGUUCUAGGGACACGCCGAGGAGCGCGCCUAUGAGCAGGAGGCUGGUUAUCCACAUCGUCUUUAAUUUGAUCUCGAUAUUGAGGCUCUUGAUUCAACCGCACCUCAUUGAUAGUAGCAGUCAACGCUCGAAGUGCAACAGCCUGUUCGUCCAACUGUUGUUGGAAUUUUUUAAAUAUGUCACUAGUAUUAUCACCUGUAGACAUUUUUUUUUAAAACCUGCAAAACACUCAACACUCAAAAAUAAAAGUUAUCAAACCUCACCGUUAAUCACUCAAAAAGAAAAAAUCAAAUUCUCAAUGAGGUCGAAUUCAAUCUUGUGAGUUCUUUAUCAGAGUUUAUAUCAACCAAUUAGAGAGUGUGAACCAAACUACCAAAGAAUCCUAAUUUGCACUAGGAUGCCAAAAACUGACGAGACACCAAUUGAUUCGUGUUGCACCGAGGAAGAAGUUGUGCACACGUUUAAAUCCUACUAACACAAGAAACAAGAAGGUGUUAGAUAACGUAAAGGAAGAAUAAAGGGAAACAAAUGAAAACCUACAGCUAAGAAUCAAUAAAAAUUGCUGAAAACAGAAAACCCGAAAAACUGCGGAGUAACUUGACAACUUCGUUCGAGGUGUUCCCGAUCUCCAAAAAUUACGAAAUUAAAUUUGGAGUGUCCUUAUAUAUUGAAUUUUUUAUCUGGAAAUUUUGGGCACCAAAUUCAACCCGCUAAAUCUUUUUUAAAUUUUUAUUGAAUUUCGUAUUUUUUGAUUUUUUUGACUGAUUUUUUUGCGGGAAUAAUUUUUUUAUAUUCAAUCACAGUGCCAAAAACAUGUAUGUAAAAUUUCAGAUCAAUCGGACAACGUUUACCCACUCAAAUGAAUUUUUUUUGAACAAUUUUUCUGGGUAAAACUGCCGUUUAUGCUUUAAAAAAUAGAGAUCAGUUUAGAAAUCAACCAAGAACACCCAAAACGCCCAAAAUCUGAUACCAAAUGAUACGAGGUUGCGCGCGGACCAAGAUCGAGUUGCCAAGUCACGAGAAACUCCUACGAAAACCCUAAACAAUUAGAUCUGAAACGAAACAGAAAAUUAAAAGAUUAGAUUUUUGAAUUUUCAGAUCUGAAAUAAAAUCCCCAAAUCAGCAAAGAAUCAAAUUGAGAAUAGAAAUAAGUGUUAGGGUUCUUGAAACCCUCAAGGAGAUUGUGAUUCUGCCCAAUUGAACACCAAGAUAGUUUUCCCCAAAUUUCGACAAUCUAAUUUCACCCAAAAAGAGUAUGGAAAAACCCUAGAAAUUGGGGAUUUUUGGGCUGAUUCCUUAAGAUAGAAAAAGGCUGAAAACACAAUAAGAACAGAAAAUAGAUUAGAUAAUGAUUCAGCACAAGUAGAAAUAAAGAAAGAAUUGACAGUAAGAAAUUAAAAGAUAAGUCCUAAGAAGCCUUGAAAUCCCGAAAGAUCUCACAACUCCCUUCAAACGGCUCUAAUCUCCCCUCCAAAGAAUAUCAAUGGCAAGAAGAAGGUUGAAGAUGGCUCCCACAAUCAAAAAGAUUGUUAAAACAACUUCUAAAGAAAACUCAAGAGAAAAUCCUUGAAGAACUCAAA
Molecule: long non-coding RNA, 4270 nt
Filed under: Gossypium barbadense (sea-island cotton)
Lineage: Eukaryota; Viridiplantae; Streptophyta; Magnoliopsida; Malvales; Malvaceae
Description: long non-coding RNA (GBAR_LNC000605)
Source: RNAcentral